UCCAGUUUUGGGUUUUGCAUAGAAAUUGUUCUAUUUUCUUUUUAUUGAUUUUUUGCAUAACAUGCCAAAUGCUAUUAUCAGUUAUAGACUUAUAGUCAUUUUCUCUUCUCGGUUGAAUAUUUAGUACAAUUCACUUGUUCCUGUUCAUUAUCUAAGCUGCACACUAUUAUUACUAUCAUUUAUUGGAAACAUUUUAUUUACUUUCUAGGUUGUUUUUGUAUGAUUAAUUUAUUUUCUUUAUAUAAAUUUCAUAUUGGUUGGUGCUUAAUUUUCGUAUUUUUUGGAUCGUUGGGUUGGUCUCUAUGAUUAUUGCAUUUUCUCGAUUCCUGAACAGAUAUUGUUUG
Molecule: unclassified non-coding RNA, 344 nt
Filed under: Hevea brasiliensis (rubber tree)
Lineage: Eukaryota; Viridiplantae; Streptophyta; Magnoliopsida; Malpighiales; Euphorbiaceae
Source: RNAcentral